AAAAUAUGCUCAUCUUCUUCAUGGUGAACGAAAUCAGCAAGGAGGAAGCCAUAUUUAGGGUUUUUAAGCUUUCAAGCUCCAUAAUCAAGAAAGACGUGAAGAGUAUAUCAAACGGGGAAAAGAAAAGAUAGUGGAGUAAAGUGCAAAAUUACGAUAUUUUGCACCGAGUGACUUCCAACAACUCGGAAAUUGGAACGAAGUCAGACAAUCAUCUACACUAUCCUUCACAUUUGGGGUAUUUUACUACUAGUGUUCCGAAAUUUUAUGGCAUGUAUAGACAAUUUAUGUAAUGUGGGAUCAUCAUGUAAAUAUAUGUUAUGGUUCCCUUUUAAAUGUAGUGUUUAUUAAUAGUUAAUCUGUAUGUGUGUUUAUACAAAUGAAAUUGGUUGGUAUAUUGGAAUGUGUUCUAAAUUUGC
Long non-coding RNA from Gossypium raimondii (Peruvian cotton), 416 nucleotides. RefSeq lists it as uncharacterized. Lineage: Eukaryota; Viridiplantae; Streptophyta; Magnoliopsida; Malvales; Malvaceae. The record is from RefSeq and is a predicted model, not a curated record. The transcript is spliced from 3 exons.